This 284-nucleotide ribosomal RNA is filed under the name uncultured bacterium. Its description in RNAcentral is "partial 16S ribosomal RNA". It matches the Rfam family "Bacterial small subunit ribosomal RNA", at positions 773 to 1060 of the family's 1533-position model. The record is from RNAcentral.
GUGGAUUAGGUACCCUGGUAGUCCACGCCGUAAACGAUGAUGGCUCGCUCUUGGUUCGCAAGGAUCAGGGGCUUAGCGAAAGCGUUAAGCCAUCCACCUGGGGAGUACGCCGGCAACGGUGAAACUCAAAGGAAUUGACGGGGGCCCGCACAAGCGGAGGAACAUGUGGUUUAAUUCGAUGAUACGCGAGGAACCUUACCCAGGCUCGAACGCCGGACGCAUACGGGGGAAACUUCGUAGCCAGCAAUGGCGGCCGGCGAGGUGCUGCACGGCUGUCGACAGCU